AUAUCCUACUGCAUCACAAAUCAGGCGUUUGCUACAUUGCACAAGGUUCAUAGGUGUCUGUGCACCUGCUAGUCUAAAACUCAGAAAAUAAAUCAGAUUUCAGUUGUUUAAAAAUGUGGACAACAAGGGAAACGGUUUGAUCUUCCGGCUACCAAACACUAAAAUAGAGGUCUUGCAACUUUUAGAUGUUUCUCUGCUUCAACCCACCUGAGUAAAAUAAAGAGGUCAUCAGCGGGACUAUGGAGAACUGGACUGCAUACUGAAAGGUGGUUUAUGUAUUUGAUUCUGGUGUGUUGGAUCCAGGAAACACUUAAAAGCUGCAGGACACCGGACCUCGAGGACUGGAGUCAAGACCCCUGAUCUAGGGUUUCAGCACAAUUAAAAGGAAUAAAUAAAA
Long non-coding RNA from Xiphophorus hellerii (green swordtail), 397 nucleotides. RefSeq lists it as uncharacterized. Lineage: Eukaryota; Metazoa; Chordata; Actinopteri; Cyprinodontiformes; Poeciliidae. The record is from RefSeq and is a predicted model, not a curated record. The transcript has 2 exons.